RNAcentral lists this ribosomal RNA (301 nucleotides) under uncultured bacterium. RNAcentral describes it as "partial 16S ribosomal RNA". It matches the Rfam family "Bacterial small subunit ribosomal RNA", at positions 509 to 807 of the family's 1533-position model. The record is from RNAcentral.
CAGCAGCCACGGGAAUACGAGGGGGGCAAGCGUUGUUCGGAAUUAUUGGGCGUAAAGGGCGCGUAGGCGGAUGGCACAGUCAGAUGUGAAAUUCCCGAGCUUAACCUGGGGGCUGCAUUUGAUACGUGUUGUCUAGAGUGAGGAAGAGGGUCGUGGAAUUCCCAGUGUAGAGGUGAAAUUCGUAGAUAUUGGGAAGAACACCGGUGGCGAAGGCGGCGACCUGGUCCUUUACUGACGCUGAGGCGCGAAAGCGUGAGGAGCAAACAGGAUUAGAUACCCCUGUAGUCCCUGUCUCUUAUAC